AUUUAGCCCUGAUUGCAACGGCAUCCUUUUUUUGUAAAAAAAAGAUAGAGUGGAAAGCAGGAAAAUGG
This 68-nucleotide small RNA is filed under the name Flavobacterium aquatile LMG 4008 = ATCC 11947. RNAcentral's name for it is "Flavobacterium aquatile LMG 4008 Flavo-1 RNA". It matches the Rfam family "Flavo-1 RNA". Lineage: Bacteria; Pseudomonadati; Bacteroidota; Flavobacteriia; Flavobacteriales; Flavobacteriaceae. The record is from Rfam by way of RNAcentral.